RNAcentral lists this ribosomal RNA (513 nucleotides) under uncultured bacterium. Its description in RNAcentral is "bacterial SSU rRNA". It matches the Rfam family "Bacterial small subunit ribosomal RNA", at positions 8 to 518 of the family's 1533-position model. The record is from RNAcentral.
AGAGUUGAUCAUGGCUCAGGAUGAACGCUGGCGGCGUGCCUAACACAUGCAAGUCGAACGGAAGGUAAGCGCUUCGGAGACUUCGGUCAAUGUUUGCUUAUCUUUAGUGGCGGACGGGUGAGUAACGCGUGGAUAACCUGCCAUAUACAGGGGGAUAACAGUUAGAAAUGACUGCUAAUACCGCAUAAGCGCACGGAAACGCAUGUUUCAGUGUGAAAAAACUCCGGUGGUAUAUGAUGGAUCCGCGUCUGAUUAGCCAGUUGGCGGGGUAACGGCCCACCAAAGCGACGAUCAGUAGCCGGCCUGAGAGGGUGAACGGCCACAUUGGGACUGAGACACGGCCCAAACUCCUACGGGAGGCAGCAGUGGGGGAUAUUGCACAAUGGGGGAAACCCUGAUGCAGCCGACGCCGCGUGAGUGAAGAAGUAUUUCGGUAUGUAAAGCUCUAUCAGCAGGGAAGAUAAUGACGGUACCUGACUAAGAAGCACCGGCUAAAUACGUGCCAGCCGCCGC